Molecule: ribosomal RNA, 167 nt
Filed under: uncultured rumen bacterium
Lineage: Bacteria
Description: partial 16S ribosomal RNA
Rfam family: Bacterial small subunit ribosomal RNA
Source: RNAcentral
UACGGGAGGCAGCAGUGGGGAAUAUUGGACAAUGGGCGCAAGCCUGAUCCAGCCAUGCCGCGUGAGUGAUGAAGGCCCUAGGGUUGUAAAGCUCUUUCACCGGAGAAGAUAAUGACGGUAUCCGGAGAAGAAGCCCCGGCUAACUUCGUGCCAGCAGCCGCGGUAAU